GUGGCUCCUCCAACGCCUUCUUCGCACUUUCAACAGUCUUAUACACAAAGAGGCAGAACCCCUUAAACUUCCCGGUCGCCUUGUCCAACCCGAGCGGCCCCUCCUCAAUCUCACCAAACUUCGAGAAAAACUGCAUCACCUUCUGGGGGUCGAGCUCCGCGGCAACAUUGCUCACAUAGAUCUUGCGCUGAGUGUACUCCGAAACCGGCGGUGCUGCAGCUGGCACCGGCCCUGCCGAAGCUAACUGGCACGAAGUCAUCCGGUUACCGAUCUUCUUCUGUGGCUCCUUGAGAGCUUUGUUUGCACUGGCCCUGCGCUUGAAGAGGACAAAGCCGUAGCCCUUGGAUUUUCCGGUAGCCUUGUCGACCACAGCCUUGCAAUCUUCGAUUUCUCCGAACUGAGAGUAGGCGGCUUUUAGAUCCUCGGUGGUGGUGUCCCAGCCAAGGCCGUGGACGAAGAUCUUGCGGUGGGAGGGGUCGACGUCGGCGGCACGGAUGAUUUCUUGGAGCACGUCCGGAUGCUUCGCGGCGGCGGCACCGAGGAGCUCCGCGAGCUGGUCCUUAGGGAGGGGGUUGAGAAGCUUGAGGAUGGAGGCGGGGUCGUUGGAGGGCACGUCGUCGUCAUCAGCGUCCCCGCCGGCGGCGGAUAAGGCGGGGGGUUCCGUCUCCGUCUCGUCCUCCAUGUCGACUUCCUCGGCGGUGGCGGUGUUCUCCUCCGGCACGGUGAUCUCCGGGUCCUCCUCCUCUUCCUCGACCUCGAUCUCCUCCUCGUAGUACUCAAAUUCCUCCUUGACCGGCUCCGGAGCGACGACGGGUUCCGCCGAGGGGGUGGAUCGGGGGGCGACCUUUCGCUUCUUGGCCAUGGAUGAAGGGAGAAGGUCGGUGAGGGAGUAAAAAGUGGCGGCGGCGGUUGUGA
RNAcentral lists this unclassified non-coding RNA (915 nucleotides) under Hevea brasiliensis (rubber tree). The record is from RNAcentral. Lineage: Eukaryota; Viridiplantae; Streptophyta; Magnoliopsida; Malpighiales; Euphorbiaceae.